Molecule: ribosomal RNA, 477 nt
Filed under: uncultured bacterium
Lineage: Bacteria
Description: SSU rRNA
Rfam family: Bacterial small subunit ribosomal RNA
Source: RNAcentral
AGGACGAACGCUGGCGGCGUGCUUAACACAUGCAAGUCGAACGAGGCCCUUCUCUUCGGAGAAGGUGCCCUAGUGGCGAACGGGUGAGUAACACGUGGGCAACCUGCCCCUAGCACUGGGAUAACUCCGGGAAACCGGGGCUAAUACCGGAUAUGACCUCCUUAGGCAUCUUUGGAGGUGGAAAAGAUUCUGGCUAGGGAUGGGCCCGCGGCCUAUCAGCUUGUUGGUGGGUAACGGCCCACCAAGGCUCCGACGGGUAGCCGGCCUGAGAGGGCGACCGGCCACACUGGGACUGAGACACGGCCCAGACUCCUACGGGAGGCAGCAGUGGGGAAUAUUGCACAAUGGGCGAAAGCCUGAUGCAGCGACGCCGCGUGAGGGAUGACGGCCUUGGGUUGUAACCUCUUUCAGCCUCGACGAAGCGAAAGUGACGGUAGAGGCAGAAGAAGCACCGGCCAACUACGCGCCAGCAGCCGC